GGUAAGGGCAGGCCACGGUCGCGUGCAGGAUAGACGGUUCUUCGGGGUGUAAAACUCUGUUGUCAGGGAAGAACAGUGCGUUAGGAAAUGAACGUACCUUGACGGUACCUUAUUAGAAAGCCCCGGCUAACAACCUGCCACCACCCGCGUAUAAUAA
This 157-nucleotide ribosomal RNA is filed under the name uncultured bacterium. RNAcentral describes it as "partial 16S ribosomal RNA". The record is from RNAcentral.